GGACCGGGCACCCAGCCUUCUCCCUCUCCACCAUUAUCAGCUCCUGUCUCUCCUGAGUCGCACCUUAACCGGGACGUAUUCACCUGCACUGGCCCGACCCUAUCAGAGGAGGGGUCAUCUUCUAGGACACGGAGAGUGGACCCAUCUCCCUGGUGACCCUGGAGGCUCGCUUCCCAGGCAGCUCUCGAGACCCCGGAACCCAAGGCACCCCAGUCCUUCCCCUCUGGGACCGAGGGGUCCAGGCCCCUGGCCCUCCCUUAUUUAAGGAGCCAGGGCUCCGGUCUCCCAGCACCCGUCCAGGGGGACCUCCAGACACACACACACUCAGCAUCACUGCCCUGGUCUUCUCCAGCCCACCUCCAAGUUGAAAUCCAGCGGCUGGAGUCAGUCCUCCACUGUCCCCAACCAGACAGGCUGCAUGGGGCCUGGAGACGGUGAGGUCCCUGAAAUGCGAAGCCACGAGUUGUCCUAAGUGACCGGAGCCAAGUGAUUUCUCAUCUUGGAGUCUCUGCGUCGCUGUCUGUCAGAAACAAAACUGUGGUCACAACGUCCUGAAUGUUUCAUGACCGGCUAACAGGUCUUGACUUGCAAUCGCGAACAACCACUAAUCUCGAGUUCCAGGGGUCCACGCAGGUUGGUGUUAGAAAAGGAGUAACUAAUACUAACGUGGAGUAGGUUCUAUUGGCUUCCAAGGGGGCGCAGCGUUUUGUUCCUGCACCCCCCGCAGCAUGCUGCAUGCGUGAACAGACAGACACACAUGCACCCAUGGCACAUACCACCCCCUUCCACUCCCCUCAG
This is a long non-coding RNA of Suricata suricatta (meerkat), 798 nucleotides long. RefSeq lists it as uncharacterized. The record is from RefSeq and is a predicted model, not a curated record. The transcript has 3 exons. NCBI's taxonomy places the organism in Eukaryota, Metazoa, Chordata, Mammalia, Carnivora, Herpestidae.